Dermochelys coriacea (leatherback sea turtle) is the source of this 316-nucleotide long non-coding RNA. RefSeq lists it as uncharacterized. The transcript is spliced from 2 exons. The record is from RefSeq and is a predicted model, not a curated record. NCBI's taxonomy places the organism in Eukaryota, Metazoa, Chordata, Testudines, Dermochelyidae.
UGCAGGUAGAAGAGAAGAGAAGCUGGUGGUGUCAGCUCCCUGAAUCUCAGCUGGGUUUCACUGGUGCAAGUUAAGGCUACGGAGGCUUUUAGCUUUGUCAUCUAUAUCCCAUGCUAGUAUAGUUUCAACUGUUGUAAUUUCUUGUUUUUGUCUGCAUCUGUUUUAAAUGAUUGUUCCGUGUGUUGUUGCAUUUCUUGAGCUUCGUCUGCAUAAAAAUUUUCUUCGGCAGUUACUUGAUGAUCUUGAUCAACUUCGUUAUUUUCAUGAUGUACAAACUUAAGUAAAGAACCCUUCUGUGCUUGUAUAGCUAAUCCUA